AUUGAACGCUGGCGGCAGGCCUAACACAUGCAAGUCGAACGGUAACAGGAAGAAGCUUGCUUCUUUGCUGACGAGUGGCGGACGGGUGAGUAAUGUCAGGGAAACUGCCUGAUGGAGGGGGAUAACUACUGGAAACGGUAGCUAAUACCGCAUAACGUCGCAAGACCAAAGAGGGGGACCUUCGGGCCUCUUGCCAUCGGAUGUGCCCAGAUGGGAUUAGCUAGUAGGUGGGGUAACGGCUCACCUAGGCGACGAUCCCUAGCUGGUCUGAGAGGAUGACCAGCCACACUGGAACUGAGACACGGUCCAGACUCCUACGGGAGGCAGCAGUGGGGAAUAUUGCACAAUGGGCGCAAGCCUGAUGCAGCCAUGCCGCGUGUAUGAAGAAGGCCUUCGGGUUGUAAAGUACUUUCAGCGGGGAGGAAGGGAGUAAAGUUAAUACCUUUGCUCAUUGACGUUACCCGCAGAAGAAGCACCGGCUAACUCCGUG
This 490-nucleotide ribosomal RNA is filed under the name uncultured bacterium. RNAcentral's name for it is "partial 16S ribosomal RNA". It matches the Rfam family "Bacterial small subunit ribosomal RNA", at positions 30 to 507 of the family's 1533-position model. The record is from RNAcentral.